CAACCCUGAUCCAGCCAUGCCGCGUGAUCGAUGAAGGCCUUAGGGUUGUAAAGAUCUUUCAGCUGGGAAGAUAAUGACGGUACCAGCAGAAGAAGCCCCGGCUAACUCCGUGCCAGCAGCCGCGGUAAUACGGAGGGGGCUAGCGUUGUUCGGAAUUACUGGGCGUAAAGCGCACGUAGGCGGACCAGUCAGUUGGGGGUGAAAUCCCGGGGCUCAACCCCGGAACUGCCUCCAAAACUGCUGGUCUGGAGGUCGAGAGAGGCGAGUGGAAUUCCGAGUGUAGAGGUGAAAUUCGUAGAUAUUCGGAGGAACACCAGUGGCGAAGGCGGCUCGCUGGCUCGAUACUGACGCUGAGGUGCGAAAGCGUGGGGAGCGAACAGGAUUAGAUACCCUGGUAGUCCACGCCGUAAACUAUGAGAGCUAGACGUCGGGCGGCUUGCCGUUCGGUGUCGCAGCUAACGCAUUAAGCUCUCCGCCUGGGGAGUACGGCCGCAAAGGUUA
This 501-nucleotide ribosomal RNA is filed under the name uncultured Pseudomonadota bacterium. Its description in RNAcentral is "bacterial SSU rRNA". It matches the Rfam family "Bacterial small subunit ribosomal RNA", at positions 378 to 896 of the family's 1533-position model. The record is from RNAcentral. Lineage: Bacteria; Pseudomonadati; Pseudomonadota.